GAGUAACACGUAAGCAACCUGCCUAUCAGAGGGGAANAACAGUUAGAAAUGACUGCUAAUACCGCAUAUGCCUUAGCAACACAUGUUGCAAAAGGGAAAGGAGCAAUCCGCUGAUAGAUGGGCUUGCGUCUGAUUAGAUAGUUGGUGGGGUAACGGCUUACCAAGUCAACGAUCAGUAGCCGGACUGAGAGGUUGAACGGCCACAUUGGGACUGAGAUACGGCCCAGACUCCUACGGGAGGCAGCAGUCGGGAAUAUUGCGCAAUGGAGGAAACUCUGACGCAGUGACGCCGCGUGCAGGAAGAAGGUUUUCGGAUUGUAAACUUCUGUUCUUAGUGAAGAAUAAUGACGGUAGCUAAGGAGCAAGCCACGGCUAACUACGUGCCAGCAGCCGCGGUAAUACGUAGGUGGCAAGCGUUGUCCGGAAUUACUGGGUGUAAAGGGAGCGUAGGCGGGAUGCCAAGUCAGCUGUGAAAACUAUGGGCUUAACCUGUAGACUGCAGUUGAAACUGGUAUUCUUGAGUGAAGUAGAGGUUGGCGGAAUUCCGAGUGUAGCGG
Molecule: ribosomal RNA, 557 nt
Filed under: uncultured bacterium
Lineage: Bacteria
Description: bacterial SSU rRNA
Rfam family: Bacterial small subunit ribosomal RNA
Source: RNAcentral